This 382-nucleotide ribosomal RNA is filed under the name uncultured eukaryote. Its description in RNAcentral is "partial 18S ribosomal RNA". It matches the Rfam family "Eukaryotic small subunit ribosomal RNA", at positions 592 to 976 of the family's 1831-position model. The record is from RNAcentral.
UGUAAGCGUAUACCAAAGUUGUUGCAGUUAAAACGCUCGUAGUCGGAAUUUGGCAGUUCCGGAUGUGUGCACGUCGUGUGCGCACUUCGCGGGGAUUGCUUUUGUGGUCUUGCGUAGGAUGAGGCACUUUUAUUAGUGAACGUCCUCACGCAACCACUUUUUACUGUGAGAAAAUCAGAGUGCUCAAAGCAGGCAUUUGCCGUGAAUGUAUUAGCAUGGAAUAAUAGAAUAGGUCUUGGUUCUAUUUUGUUGGUUUGUUGGGACUGAGUAAUGAUUAAGAGGGACAGUUGGGGGCAUUUGUAUUUCGGUGCUAGAGGUGAAAUUCUUAGAUUACCGAAAGACAAACUGCUGCGAAAGCGUCUGCCAAGGAUGUUUUCAUUGA